GUGCUCACUUCAACAGUACAUAUACUAAAAUUGGAACGAUACAGAGAUUAGCAUGGCCCCUGUGCAAGGAUGACACACAAAUUCGUGAAAUGUUCCAUAUUAAA
Molecule: small nuclear RNA, 104 nt
Filed under: Carlito syrichta (Philippine tarsier)
Lineage: Eukaryota; Metazoa; Chordata; Mammalia; Primates; Tarsiidae
Source: RNAcentral